CAAUAGCGUAUAUUAAAGUUGUUGCAGUUAAAAAGCUCGUAGUUGGAUUUCUGGAUGGAGCGACCGGUCGGGCAUUAAUUUGUCUGCACUGGAGUCGGUUCCGUCCAUCCUCUUGGAAAGUGCGUCGGGCAUCAAGUUGUUUGGCGUAUGAUCCAAGUCGUUUACUGUGAAAAAAUUAGAGUGUUUAAAGCAGGCCUUCGCCUUGAAUACAUUAGCAUGGAAUAAUAAGAUAGGACUUUGGUCUAUUUUGUUGGUUUGCAGACCGAAGUAAUGAUUAAUAGGGAUAGUUGGGGGUAUUUAUAUUCCGAUGUCAGAGGUGAAAUUCUUAGAUUUUCGGAAGAUAAACUUAUGCGAAAGCAUUUACCAAGGAUGUUUUCAUUAA
RNAcentral lists this ribosomal RNA (382 nucleotides) under uncultured eukaryote. RNAcentral describes it as "partial 18S ribosomal RNA". It matches the Rfam family "Eukaryotic small subunit ribosomal RNA", at positions 592 to 976 of the family's 1831-position model. The record is from RNAcentral.